GACGAACGCUGGCGGCGUGCCUAACACAUGCAGGUCGAACGGGACAGAGAGCUUCGGUUUUCUGUUUAGUGGCGAACGGGUGAGUAACGCGUGAGAAACCUGCCUCUCAGUGGGGGACAACAGUUGGAAACGACUGCUAAUACCGCAUGACACUUCCGGAGGGCAUCCUUUGGAAGUCAAAGCUUUAUGUGCUGAGAGAUGGUCUCGCGUCUGAUUAGCUAGAUGGCGGGGUAACGGCCCACCAUGGCGACGAUCAGUAGCCGGUCUGAGAGGAUGAACGGCCACAUUGGGACUGAGAUACGGCCCAG
RNAcentral lists this ribosomal RNA (308 nucleotides) under uncultured bacterium. RNAcentral's name for it is "bacterial SSU rRNA". It matches the Rfam family "Bacterial small subunit ribosomal RNA", at positions 28 to 334 of the family's 1533-position model. The record is from RNAcentral.